GCCGUUAUUGUAGCCGAGAUGGUAAAGCGUUCGACUCACAACCGAAAGGACGCUGGUUCGAAUCCAGCUGUCGGCA
Non-coding RNA from Rhipicephalus sanguineus (brown dog tick), 76 nucleotides. The record is from the annotation of a RefSeq genome assembly. Lineage: Eukaryota; Metazoa; Arthropoda; Arachnida; Ixodida; Ixodidae.